Molecule: long non-coding RNA, 1108 nt
Filed under: Rattus norvegicus (Norway rat)
Lineage: Eukaryota; Metazoa; Chordata; Mammalia; Rodentia; Muridae
Description: long non-coding RNA NONRATT018376
Source: RNAcentral
ACCAAUUGCACCUGUAGUUGGCCACCGGCCACUGACCGUCUUUCUUGGACACAGUCAUCUUCCAGGCUCAGCUGUCAGUCAUCCCCUCGUGCCCUGUCCACAUGCCUACACCCAAAGACAGAUGCAGACAUGUUGGCUGAGGCCAGGAACUCAUUCCUCUCUUACUGUAUUCCCAAUACUAAAGAGUGAGCAGCAUUGGCAGGACAGUGAGCAGGACUGGCAUGUCAGGGUCACUCAGAAGACUGUGUGUCUUGCUCAUCUGUGUUUUGGAAAAAGAUGUGCGUCAGGUAUACUCAGUAGACAGUCCCUGCUCACAUUGGUCUAAAGCAGCAGUUCUCAACCUGUGUGUCAUGGCCCCUUUGGCCACCCUCUAUCUCCAAAAUAUUUACAUUGUGAUUCAUAACAGUAGCAAAAUUACAGAUAUGAAGUAGCAAUGAAAAUAGUUCUGUGGUUGGAGAUUGCCAAAACACAAGAAACUUUAUUAUAGGGUCACAGCAUUUGGAAGGUUGAGAACUACUGGCUGGCAGCAGGUCCCUGGGCCACGGGGGCUCAUGCCACACUGAUGCUCUAGGUGGAAUACACCAGGCUCCUGUCCUUAACUAGCACAGGGGUUCUGGAGCAGGAGGGGCUGCGCUUGAUGAGGUCCCUUCGACACUACCCAGGCAACCUUUCCACCCUUGACCUCCAGAAUCUCAACACUGGGCAGUAUGAAGACAAGAGCUCUCCGCUUACUUCUCCUUUUUUACAUUUCUGCUGUUCAUAUCCCACUCUUGAACUGUACUGUGUGUUUUGACUGUUUUAUUUAAGGAAUUGAUGUGGGUUUUGUUUGUCUUUGAUCACACGUAGAGUGCCCUUUCCCUGGCAGACCUAGGUUGCCGUUCCUCUGGAGUGUCUGUGGCAUUCUGAGGACAACUGUCAUGUCUACCAGCGUCACCCACCCAGUUGACUCCGUGUGACAGGCCUGUCCUGCUCGGUGUGCCUGCACUUCAGGAAGAAGCAGCUCUGAGCUUGCCUUGUUCCUUCAGGCUAUGUGAAUGAGGAGGUGGGAGAACUUUAAACUUGGAAUUAUGCCUCCCUCCAACUUGGGGUCUAUGCCCCUUUAACUCAA